This is a long non-coding RNA of Sinocyclocheilus rhinocerous, 316 nucleotides long. RefSeq lists it as uncharacterized. The record is from RefSeq and is a predicted model, not a curated record. Lineage: Eukaryota; Metazoa; Chordata; Actinopteri; Cypriniformes; Cyprinidae. The transcript has 3 exons.
GUUAGAUGUCGAAAUGGAGAGUGCUGGUGCAGGAGGAGCAUGAUUACAACAGCCGUCCAGCCCCGGAUGAGAUACUGCAGAUCAUAUCAACCCCUCCGGACAUGUCAUCUUUCCAGUUUAGGAUAGCAAAACAUCAAUGUAUGUGCCAAAGUAGAAUUCAUCAACUUUAGCCUUGAUCUCUUUGAUCAGCUCAUCGUCUCUACACACCCUAUCUACAUUGAAGUCACCCCUUGUAUUUGUCACCAGAUCACACCAAGCUAAGCCAGUAACCAUCAGCUGACCUUGGACUUGCCAAUGGUAGGUGUGUGUUUUUCUU